RNAcentral lists this ribosomal RNA (245 nucleotides) under uncultured bacterium. Its description in RNAcentral is "partial 16S ribosomal RNA". It matches the Rfam family "Bacterial small subunit ribosomal RNA", at positions 524 to 768 of the family's 1533-position model. The record is from RNAcentral.
UACGAAGGGAGCUAGCGUUGUUCGGAAUCACUGGGCGUAAAGCGCACGUAGGUGGACAGUUAAGUCAGGGGUGAAAGCCCGAGGCUCAACCUCGGAAUUGCCUCUGAUACUGGCUGUCUAGAGUCCGAGAGAGGUGGGUGGAAUUCCUAGUGUAGAGGUGAAAUUCGUAGAUAUUAGGAAGAACACCGGUGGCGAAGGCGGCCCACUGGCUCGGUACUGACACUGAGGUGCGAAAGCGUGGGGAG